Molecule: ribosomal RNA, 447 nt
Filed under: uncultured bacterium
Lineage: Bacteria
Description: partial 16S ribosomal RNA
Rfam family: Bacterial small subunit ribosomal RNA
Source: RNAcentral
AACGAACGCUGGCGGCAGGCUUAACACAUGCAAGUCGAACGCCCCGCAAGGGGAGUGGCAGACGGGCGAGUAACGCGUGGGAAUCUACCCAUCUCUACGGAAUAACUCAGGGAAACUUGUGCUAAUACCGUAUACGCCCUUCGGGGGAAAGAUUUAUCGGAGAUGGAUGAGCCCGCGUUGGAUUAGCUAGUUGGUGGGGUAAAGGCCUACCAAGGCGACGAUCCAUAGCUGGUCUGUGAGGAUGAUCAGCCACAUUGGGACUGAGACACGGCCCAAACUCCUACGGGAGGCAGCAGUGGGGAAUAUUGGACAAUGGGCGCAAGCCUGAUCCAGCCAUGCCGCGUGAGUGAUGAAGGCCUUAGGGUUGUAAAGCUCUUUCACCGGAGAAGAUAAUGACGGUAUCCGGAGAAGAAGCCCCGGCUAACUUCGUGCCAGCAGCCGCCGUAA